RNAcentral lists this transfer RNA (73 nucleotides) under Acromyrmex echinatior (Panamanian leafcutter ant). It matches the Rfam family "tRNA". Rfam says of the family: Transfer RNA (tRNA) molecules are approximately 80 nucleotides in length. Their secondary structure includes four short double-helical elements and three loops (D, anti-codon, and T loops). Lineage: Eukaryota; Metazoa; Arthropoda; Insecta; Hymenoptera; Formicidae. The record is from Rfam by way of RNAcentral.
GUCUCAGUAGUCUAAAAGUUUAGGACACUUGCACGGAAUGCAAGAGAUCCGGGUUCAAUUCCCGGCCGAAGUA